AUGCCCGCUAACGAUCUAGAGGAAAUUAAGAAGCAGAUUAAGGAGUUAUUGGAGAAAGGUUAUAUCCGACCAAGUUCAUCACCGUGGGGAGCCCCAGUGCUCUUAGUUGAGAAGAAGGAUGGAUCAUUGAGAAUGGUUGUUGAUUAUCGGGCUUUGAAUGAAGUGACAAUCAAGAACAAGUACCAACUACCAAUGAUCAAUGAUUUGUUUGACCAGCUGCAAGGAGCUAAAGUAUUCUCCAAGAUCGAUCUUCGAUCAGGAUACCACCAGUUGAAGAUCCGAGAACAGGAUAUUCCUAAGACAACUUUUACCACAAGGUACGGGCUAUAUGAGUACACGGUCAUGUCUUUUGGAUUGACUAAUGCCCCUUCCUAUUUUAUGAGUAUGAUGAACAAGGUAUUCAUGGAAUUUUUGGACAAGUUUGUUGUGGUGUUCAUUGAUGAUAUUCUGGUAUACUCGAAGAAUGAAGAGGAACACAAGGAGCAUUUGCGCUUAGUUCUCGAGAAGCUCAGGGAGCAUCAGCUAUACGCCAAGUUCAGCAAAUAUUCGAGAAGCACAGAAGGAUGA
RNAcentral lists this ribosomal RNA (567 nucleotides) under Triticum aestivum (bread wheat). RNAcentral describes it as "partial small subunit ribosomal RNA". Lineage: Eukaryota; Viridiplantae; Streptophyta; Magnoliopsida; Poales; Poaceae. The record is from RNAcentral.